AUGACCCAGUCAUCAGAGUCACACUCAGCCUCCCCUGAUGCCUACGCCCUGCGGACAGACAGGAGUACACCCUGGUCAGCCAUCCAUCAGCCCUGUGACCUGGGUGCCUGGCUCCUCCCUGGUAAACCUCUCUCAUCAGCGAGGCACAUUUGGACAUCUUCAGCAUCACGUGAUUCUCCUGAAAAUGUCAAGCCUGUCAGGUCAGACGUGUUUCAGAAUCCUCAGUUCCUGCUGGAGCCCCUGGUGAGCAGAAAAAGAAAGUGGCCUCCUCCCUCCUCGGGCAGAGGUCAGUGCUUGUCAAGAUGCUCAGUGGCUGAGCCAUCCCCGCCCCUGCAAGUACAUUCUCAGAGCACAUUCUCAGAUCAGGACAGAUGUAAAGAACGAGCCAAGAGUCACAGACCUCCCAGUUCUCCAGAGCAUGAGGUACAACGUGGUUAUGACAGUCCCACAGAAAAGCGCCCCGCCAAAGAAGCCCUUCCUUCCAUCCAUCUGCCCGAAUAUCACCCGUGCAUCCUUCUCAUUCACACACCCUCCUUUAUGCAGCCACCCGUCCAUCUUUCCAUCCACCCCCCCAUCCAUGCAUUCCUCAUCUGUCUUUCCAUCCACCCACCCACCCGUCCAUCCAUGCACCCUUUGUCAUCCACCCAUGCAUCUUUCCCCUUCUGUCCAUCCACCCAUCCAUGCAUCCACCCAUCUCCUGGAUUCACUCACAAGUGAUCCUUUCAAAAGUUUUGGAUGCAGCCUGGAACCUCCCAUAGCACCAUGGUCUGUGCAGAGAAUCAUCCAAGGUUUGUGAAUCCAUUCUAUGUCCUCUGGGACUGAAGCUACAAAUGACCCCAGGGAACAUUUUUGAAUGAUGAUAAAAACGCAAGCAUUUUUAGACCUGAAGCACGGGGACUUUUUACAUAUCCCAGCACUAAAAUGGUUGUUUGGGGUAUCCCUCGGGUUUCUCCUCAGCCCAGCUCGUAGAAAACACCAGUGUUUGGGAAAGCCAGAUCUGCCUGGGGACCGGUUAUGAGGCUGAUGCUAAGAUCUGCUCCAAGUCCUCCUCCCUCGCUGUAGGGGGGCCCUGCUGACCCCACCUCCACUCCAGUCCCCUCUGGUCCCUCAACACACGGCCCCACCAAGUCCUGGACUUGACGCAUUUCUUCCAAUAGGCCAUCUCCCCUUGUCCUCGAGGCACAUGUUGUCCUGAGUCCAUCCUCUCCAAACACUGCACAAUUAACCGGACUAAAUAUUUUGACUUCCUCCGUCUCUCUUUCUGCAGCUUUGGACUGACUUCAAGCACCUUUCAGAAUUGAUUGGCUGUGAUGCUGCUCUAUUGCGUUAUCGAUUUCAGUUCCCGUGUAAAACAAGGAGUUUAUGUCCACACACAGAACAUAAGUGCUACUGUGCUGUCUAAAUAUUAUAUCUCGCUGUCACAGUGGGAUGGGAAAGCAUAAACAUACUUUUAAUUGACCUCAAGACACUCGUGUCAGUCACGGGCAGCGAGGCUGGAUGCUGCUGUCCCCAGGAACUCCAUGGCCUCCGGCUGUGCCAGCGCUGGCCACGCCACCUCUGCAUGAAGAAGCACAGACAUAUGGAGUCCUCCCCCGGCUAGAGCCACCUCCCCACUGCAUUCUGUGGAGUGUGGGGGACACACGCGUCAGGAGAACGUCCUCCUACUCGACGAAGGCCAGGCAGGUUAGUACCCGCCCACCUAGAAAUCACUUUUUCUCUCUCUCGGAAUGAACAAGGAUUUUAACAAGUGACAGUCAAGCGUGACCAGUCCCACGCAGAGCCCUGCAUGACUCUCCAUCCAUCAAGUUUGCUAAAGUGAGAAAACUUGCUGUCUACUGUCCAUUUUCUUCCAGAAAAAAAUAAGAGGGGGAGUAAGUUAAAACUAAACAAGAGACUUUUUUUCAACUUUAAAUCUGUAAAACUAGAAAUCAGCAAACUCUUUCUUAAAGGACCAGGUGUAAAUAUUUCAGAUUUUGUGAACUCUGGUCUCCGUGAAAACUUCUCCCCUCUACCAAGGUAGCCAUAGCCUAUAUGGAAAUGAGCAGGUGUGGCUGUGUUGCAAUAAAACUUUAUUUAUAAAAGCAAGCACAGCCAGGUGCAUGCCUGUCAACCCAGCACUUUCAGAGGCUCAGGUAGGAGGAGGACCACAAGUUUGAGCCCAGCCUGGGCAACAUAGAAGAUCUUGUGUCAAGAUUUUUUUUUAAAAAAAGGGUGUGAGGCCAGGCAUGGUGGUGCAUGCCUGUAAUCCCAGCACUCUGGAGGCUGAGGCAGGAGGAUCACUGCAAGUUCAAGGCCAGCCUGAACUGCAUAGUGAAACCCUGUCUCAAAAAGGCAAAAAAAAAUUAAAAAUAAAAAAAGGUACUGACGUAGUUCAAAGCAAAGGCCCUCAGUUCAAUCUCCAAUGCCACUUUAAAAAAAUUUUUUUUUCUUAAAAAAGCAAGCAAGUGAGAUCUGUGACUUGUAGUUUGAGGCCUCUGCUUUGGGGUGGUACUACUCCAAGACAUGGGUGGGGUACUGUCCAAGAAACUGGAUCUCGAGGGCACCUCUGGCGUUAGACAGACUGUGACAGUGCGACCCGGGGUAACCCUCAGGGAAUGUCCCUUCAGGUAAGAGAUGGACCCUGUGCCUCCUGGGAUCCUGGGAGAACCUGUCCACAGGGGCUUUCCUCUUCUCCUGUGACCCAGCCUUCACGUUUCCUCCCAGCUCGGCCAUUAGAGGUUAAAGAAGUGCCAAGGGUCCAGACUGCAUUCUCCAGGGGCACUGGCAGGGAUGGCAGGGACCGCAUCAACCCUCAGGGCCCUGUCCCCAGCGGUAGCACCCAAGGUGAUAGAGCAGCAGUGACUGUCUUGCUUCCCUGGGAAAAGUUCCAGUUGGGAGGCAGGGUGCAAAGGCAGCUGCUGUUCUGAGACAAGCAAGAGACAAGCAGCCCGGACCUGAGCCCCUCGGACAGGCUGCGCUCAAGUGUGGACCAAGUCCUCCACCCACAGUUAAAUACUUAGCAGUUAAUUGGCUUUGGCAAUAUAAAAAAGACUAUUUGAACUCCCUCAAAAUGCAAUCCAGACACUUUAUGAAAAGAAGCUAGAUAUACUGCAGUGCUGAGUAGACCUUCUCUCGCCAUCAGCCUCCUUAAAAGCACUUCAAGGGUAAAAAUAUUCUUAAAUCAAAAGGAAUGCCUCACUUAGCAAGACGGGAGUUGGCAGGGUCUGUCCAGCGGCUCCUUUCGUUAUCAGAAAGGACAAAUAGGGGCUGGGGAUUUAGCUCAGCGGCAAAGCGCCUGCCUGGCAAGCGCAAGGUCGUGAGUUCAGUUCCCGGUACCGGAGAAAAAUCAAAAAAAAAAAAAAAAAGAAAGAAAUGACAAAUGGAGCUUGGGGCUCCGCCUGUGGGGUCCUCCUGACGGGCAGGGCGAGGAAAGCGCAGGCGCACAGGAAGGGGGUCAGGCUGCCUGUGAGCUCUCGGCCCCAGGCGGGACCCCAAGGAACUCAAAGGGCUGUUGGAAAGAGUGAGGGAGUCGUGGCAAGAGCAAGGCAGGGCGGCGACAGUGACCAGGGAGUGUGGAAUCGAGCAUGAGAUGCGGGGGGAGCUUAUGGACAGCCACAAGGAGCAAGAGAGGAGAGUGAGACAGAGACUUGCGGGGAGGGACCCCACAGGGCGAGGGCCUUUCUUCUUCUUUCUAACCACCGGGCAUUAAACUCGCUCUUACAUGUGCUAGGCAAAGCACUCUACCACGGAGUGGCACCCCGGGCUCUUUUAAAGUAUGCUGAGGCAGGGUCUAAGUUUCCCAGGCUGGCCUCAACAUUGGGACCCCCCUUUCUCAGCCUCCCAAGGAGCUGGGAUGACAGGCAUCCACCACAGUGCCCAGCUACAGAAGACCUUUCUUACCAGUGCAAGUGAGGAUGCAGACACACACAGAUACAUAGACACACAAAUACACAUAGCUACACACACAUGUGCACACAUGUGCACACAGAGAGACCUCAUGCAGGUGCAGAACAGAGAGAUACACACAAUGCAAAGCCACACAAGCCCACACACAGAGACACAAGUAUGCACACAGCAGUGUCAUGGCUUGAUGGGUCCUAAAGCCCCCCAAAGGCCAAGGGAUUGAAGGUUCGGUCCCAACCUGAGGCACCGCCAAGAGGUGGUGGGAAUAUUGGAGGUGGGACCUGGGGCGGAAGUGACAUUACAGGGUCAUGGCCUUGACAAGCUGCAGGUACCAGGCCUUUCUUUCUCUCCUUGUUUCUGGGCACCAGGAAGUGAGCAGCCUCAGCCACCACAUAACUGUGACUCCGCGUGGGGCCACAAGCCCCAUGACCAGGGAUGGAAGUGAGCCGAAGUGAACCUUUCCUCUGGUUAACAUGACCGUGCCCGGUACUCUGUCACAGUGACAUAACGCUGACCAACAUAAACAGGCACACGCAGAAAUUAAUACACACGCUUCACCCAGCAGCAGACACACGCACACACAGAGGCACACACACAGACCUGGAGUGGGAAAAACACAGGUUCAGAACACACACACACUCACACUCAAGGAGGAGCACGCCACCGAAGACAAGCACAAUGUCGCCUCCAAGCCUGGUUCUUCCUUCCAGGCCACAGGAAACUGCGUGACGAAGGCGGGAGCAACCUCAGCCAGGCCACCCAGGCACUGCUAAGCUUGAGUUCAGGCUGGGCAUGACUUGCCAGGCCCAAGACUCAGCACGCAUGCUCAGGGCUUGUGUGUGUGGGCACGUGUGCAUGGGGGGGGGGUACAGAAUGCAAACUGCCCCAUCCAAAUCAAAAGCUCAGCACCCUGGGCUGUGGCCUCAAACUCCUCCUGCCUCUCUCCCCUGCUGGAGCACCCGGGCCCCAGAGGCCCCUUGUCCACCCCUGGGAGCAGGGUCCGCAGGCCUCUGGCCUUGGCCCCUCUGCAGAGCAGACACAGGAGGAGGCUCUUCCCAGACUCAGCCCCACCCCAGCUGUGUGGCCACAGGGAAGGCCUACUGUCCCUGCGCCCUCUGCAGCCCAGGACCCACCACCCCACCACACCCCUGACCCUAACCCUGAGGGACGUGAGUCUGUGCCCUGUGCCCAGUGAUUCUGCAGUCCCCAUGCUCUUGGAGCAAGGCCUGGCCGGAAGGAAGCCCUCAGCCUGCACCACUGAUGGGUGAGGGAGUGGCAUAGGAGGUGAGGCUUGGGGACAGCGGGCAGAAAGGAGGCAGCCGUGCCCACCUCGGGCUCUCCCCGCCUCCCGGGUCUAGGCUCCGCACUCUCCUAGAAGGCCCGAGGCUACGCAGUGCCCUGAAGAGCAGAACAAGGAGCCAGAGCCCGGCCCGGGCUUCGCUGGGUGGCCGGGGGCGGGAUUCGUCCAAACCACCCUGGAAGACCCAGACAGGAGCGAAGCUGUGAUUAUAAAGAACGCGCGUUCCAGGGCGGCAUGGCCGGGCGGGGCAGCAGCAGAGGGAGCAAUCCCACGAGCCAGCAAGGGAGAUUUGUUAACAAGCUCAUGUAGGAAUAUUCCAGUGAAUCAUUCAGCAUCCAAAUAAAUUAUUCACCCCCUCA
This 5541-nucleotide long non-coding RNA is filed under the name Chinchilla lanigera (long-tailed chinchilla). RNAcentral describes it as "lncRNA (ENSCLAG00000028180.1)". Lineage: Eukaryota; Metazoa; Chordata; Mammalia; Rodentia; Chinchillidae. The record is from RNAcentral.